GGGAAACAGAUGCUAAAUACCGGAUAACAACAGAUGAUGCCUAUCAACUGUUUAAAGAUGGUUCUGCUAUCACUCUUGGAUGGGACCUGCGGUGCAUUAGCUAGUUGGUAGGGUAACGGCCUACCAAGGGCGAUGAUGCAUAGCCCGAGUUGAGAGACUGAUCGGCCACAUUGGGGACUGAGACACGGCCCAAACUCCUACGGGAGGCAGCAGUAGGGAAUCUUCCACAAUGGGACGCAAGUCUGAUGGAGCAAACGCCGCGUGAGUGAAGAAGGGUUUCGGCUCGUAAAGCUCUGUUGUUGGUGAAGAAGGACAGGGGUAGUAACUGACCUUUGUUUGACGGUAAUCAAUUAGAAAGUCACGGGCUAACUACGUGCCAGCAGCUGCGGUAAAU
This 394-nucleotide ribosomal RNA is filed under the name uncultured Lactobacillus sp. RNAcentral's name for it is "bacterial SSU rRNA". It matches the Rfam family "Bacterial small subunit ribosomal RNA", at positions 151 to 525 of the family's 1533-position model. The record is from RNAcentral. Lineage: Bacteria; Bacillati; Bacillota; Bacilli; Lactobacillales; Lactobacillaceae.